This 253-nucleotide ribosomal RNA is filed under the name uncultured bacterium. Its description in RNAcentral is "partial 16S ribosomal RNA". It matches the Rfam family "Bacterial small subunit ribosomal RNA", at positions 524 to 776 of the family's 1533-position model. The record is from RNAcentral.
UACAGAGGUGGCAAGCGUUGUUCGGAAUUACUGGGCGUAAAGGGCGCGUAGGCGGUUCGAUAAGUCCCGUGUGAAAUCCCUCGGCUCAACUGAGGAACUGCACGGGAAACUGACGGGCUUGAGUUCGGGAGAGGGAAGCGGAAUUCCGGGUGUAGCGGUGAAAUGCGUAGAUAUCCGGAGGAACACCGGUGGCGAAGGCGGCUUCCUGGACCGACACUGACGCUGAGGCGCGAAAGCUAGGGUAGCAAACGGG